RNAcentral lists this non-coding RNA (28 nucleotides) under Mus musculus (house mouse). The record is from RNAcentral. Lineage: Eukaryota; Metazoa; Chordata; Mammalia; Rodentia; Muridae.
UGCGCAUAAUGAGUUGAAGCCAUGGUCC